This 288-nucleotide ribosomal RNA is filed under the name uncultured soil bacterium. RNAcentral describes it as "partial 16S ribosomal RNA". It matches the Rfam family "Bacterial small subunit ribosomal RNA", at positions 26 to 309 of the family's 1533-position model. The record is from RNAcentral.
AGAGUGAACGCUGGCGGUAGGCCUAACACAUGCAAGUCGAACGGCAGCACAGGAGAGCUUGCUCUCUGGGUGGCGAGUGGCGGACGGGUGAGGAAUACAUCGGAAUCUACCUUUUCGUGGGGGAUAACGUAGGGAAACUUACGCUAAUACCGCAUAAGACCUUCGGGUGAAAGCCGGGGACCUUCGGGCCUGGCGCGGAUAGAUGAGCCGAUGUCGGAUUAGCUUGGUUGGCGGGGUAAAACGCCCACCAAGGCGACGAUCCGUAGCUGGUCUGAGAGAUGAUCAGCC